UCUUUAAUUGCGUAGGGGAACCAAGCUAGUUCUUACCGCGGUGCUACAACAAGCAUAACAUCUAACACCGGGUAAAAACUAGCUCGGGUCCCCCUUGCAACA
RNAcentral lists this microRNA precursor (102 nucleotides) under Caenorhabditis brenneri. Its description in RNAcentral is "pre miRNA CBN33901". The stretch from base 23 to 86 matches the Rfam family "mir-36_2 microRNA precursor family". Lineage: Eukaryota; Metazoa; Nematoda; Chromadorea; Rhabditida; Rhabditidae. The record is from Rfam by way of RNAcentral.